UACGUAGGGUGCGAGCGUUGUCCGGAAUUAUUGGGCCUAAAGCAUCCGUAGCCGGUUCUGCAAGUCUUCCGUUAAAUCCACCUGCUUAACAGAUGGGCCGCGGAAGAUACUAUAGAGCUAGGAGGCGGGAGAGGCAAGCGGUACUCGAUGGGUAGGGGUAAAAUCCGUUGAUCCAUUGAAGACCACCAGUGGCGAAGGCGGCUUGCCAGAACGCGCUCGACGGUGAGGGAUGAAAGCUGGGGGAGCAAACCGG
This 253-nucleotide ribosomal RNA is filed under the name uncultured bacterium. RNAcentral describes it as "partial 16S ribosomal RNA". It matches the Rfam family "Bacterial small subunit ribosomal RNA", at positions 524 to 776 of the family's 1533-position model. The record is from RNAcentral.